This 31-nucleotide non-coding RNA is filed under the name Rattus norvegicus (Norway rat). Lineage: Eukaryota; Metazoa; Chordata; Mammalia; Rodentia; Muridae. The record is from RNAcentral.
UAACACUUUGAAAACUACCUCUCCUUGGUCC